GACGAACGCUGGCGGCGUGCUUAACACAUGCAAGUCGAACGGAAAGGCCCUGCUUUUGUGGGGUGCUCGAGUGGCGAACGGGUGAGUAACACGUGAGUAACCUGCCCUUGACUUUGGGAUAACUUCAGGAAACUGGGGCUAAUACCGGAUAGGAGCUCCUGCUGCAGGGAGGGGGUUGGAAAGUUUCGGCGGUUGGGGAUGGACUCGCGGCUUAUCAGCUUGUUGGUGGGGUAGUGGCUUACCAAGGCUUUGGCGGGUAGCCGGCCUGGGAGGGUGACCGGCCACAAUGGGACUGCGAUACGGAGCAGACGCCUACGGGAGGCAGUAGUGGGGAAUAUUGCACAAUGGGCGGAAGCCUGAUGCAGCAACGCCGCGGGCGGGAUGACGGCCUUCUGGUGGUAAACCGUUUUCGCCUGUGACGAAGCGUGAGUGACGGUAAUGGGUAAAGAAGCACCGGCUAACUACGUG
Molecule: ribosomal RNA, 468 nt
Filed under: uncultured bacterium
Lineage: Bacteria
Description: partial 16S ribosomal RNA
Rfam family: Bacterial small subunit ribosomal RNA
Source: RNAcentral